AACAGGAUUAGAUACCCUGGUAGUCCACGCCGUAAACGAUGAGUGCUAAGUGUUGGAGGGUUUCCGCCCUUCAGUGCUGCAGCAAACGCAUUAAGCACUCCGCCUGGGGAGUACGACCGCAAGGUUGAAACUCAAAGGAAUUGACGGGGGCCCGCACAAGCGGUGGAGCAUGUGGUUUAAUUCGAAGCAACGCGAAGAACCUUACCAGGUCUUGACAUCCUUUGACCACUCUAGAGAUAGAGCUUCCCCUUCGGGGGCAAAGUGACAGGUGGUGCAUGGUUGUCGUCAGCUCGUGUCGUGAGAUGUUGGGUUAAGUCCCGCAACGAGCGCAACCCUUAUCGUUAGUUGCCAUCAUUUAGUUGGGCACUCUAGCGAGACUGCCGGUGACAAACCGGAGGAAGGUGGGGAUGACGUCAAAUCAUCAUGCCCCUUAUGACCUGGGCUACACACGUGCUACAAUGGGAAGUGCAACGAGUUGCGAAGUCGCGAGGCUAAGCUAAUCUCUUAAAGCUUCUCUCAGUUCGGAUUGUAGGCUGCAACUCGCCUACAUGAAGCCGGAAUCGCUAGUAAUCGCGGAUCAGCACGCCGCGGUGAAUACGUUCCCGGGCCUUGUACACACCGCCCGUCACACCACGAGAGUUUGUAACACCCGAAGUCGGUGAGGUAACCUUUUUGGAGCCAGCCGCCUAAGGUGGGAUAGAUGAUUGGGGUGAAGUCGUAACAAGGUAACC
RNAcentral lists this ribosomal RNA (731 nucleotides) under uncultured bacterium. RNAcentral's name for it is "bacterial SSU rRNA". It matches the Rfam family "Bacterial small subunit ribosomal RNA", at positions 771 to 1501 of the family's 1533-position model. The record is from RNAcentral.